UUAAAACCCAUUCUGAGCUCUCACAAUCUGUCAACAGUGUUCAUUGGACAUCUACGCUAUACCAGACACCAUCCUUGAAGUAGGAAAUGCAGCAAUGAACAAGACAGUUGGUCCACCACCAGGGCAAGUGUACCUUCAGGAAACAAUGAACAAUUCCCCAUCAUUACCAGUGGCAUCGCUAAUGUAAAGGCAGAAGAGCUCAUGACAGGUUCCCCCACAGGGGGCCCUAAAAUGCAACUGGCAAACUGAAACAGUAAUGCCAAACAUGAGCCUACCUUGGAAUUAGCCCAAACAGCUUGGUACAGCAUCCAAACAAGACCACAGUACAGCAUCCAAGCAAGACUACUACAAUCAAGAUUAUGGUACAUUUCCAUCACACUGAAAAGUUCUCUUAUGCUCUUUUGCAGACAAUCUCCUUCUCCCACACCUGGACCCUGACAACCACUAAUAUGCUUUCCAUCUCUACAAUUUUGCCUUUUAGUUGCCAUUUCAUAUAAAUGGCAUCAUACUAUACAUACUCUUUUGUGUCCAUCUUUUUUCACUUAACAUAAUGCUGA
Long non-coding RNA from Phacochoerus africanus (Common warthog), 557 nucleotides. RefSeq lists it as uncharacterized. NCBI's taxonomy places the organism in Eukaryota, Metazoa, Chordata, Mammalia, Artiodactyla, Suidae. The transcript has 4 exons. The record is from RefSeq and is a predicted model, not a curated record.